ACGGUUACAUCACGUUAAAACACCUGUUCCCCUACGAUCACUGAAGUUAAGCAACGUCGAGCCUGGUCUGUACCUAGAUGGGUGAGCGUUUGGGAAUAACAAGUGAUGUAA
This is a non-coding RNA of Acanthosepion pharaonis, 111 nucleotides long. NCBI's taxonomy places the organism in Eukaryota, Metazoa, Mollusca, Cephalopoda, Sepiida, Sepiidae. The record is from the annotation of a GenBank genome assembly.